Molecule: ribosomal RNA, 918 nt
Filed under: Triticum aestivum (bread wheat)
Lineage: Eukaryota; Viridiplantae; Streptophyta; Magnoliopsida; Poales; Poaceae
Description: partial small subunit ribosomal RNA
Source: RNAcentral
AUGAGCUCUGGUCAACACCCACAAACUGACGGGCAAACGGAGCGUGUGAAUCAACAAGUCGAGGGCUAUCUCAAAUGCUUCAUCAGUGCCCACCCGCAUCGUUGGUUCAGCUGGCUUCCUCUUUGUGAGCUAUGGUAUAACACAAAUUGGCAUUCGUCGACAAGCAGAACUCCGUUUGAACUGGUAUAUGGGCAUCCUCCCCGCUACUUUGGCCUCUCUCCUGUAGAUGCUAUAGGCAAUUCAGAUGCUCAUCAGUGGCUACGUGAUAGGCAUGUCAUCAUGGAAUCAGUCAAGCAGCACUUGGUACGUACACAACAGCGCAUGAAGGUUCAAGUUGAUAAACACCGAACAGAGAGACACUUUGAGGUGGGAGACACAGUCUUUCUCAAAAUGCAACCGUACAUUCAGCCGUCCAUUGCUCCGAGGGCAAAUCACAAGCUUGCUUUCAAAUAUUUUGGACCCUUUGCAAUUUUGGCUCGAGUUGGUACGGUAGCGUACAAGCUGGCAUUACCGGACAAUUGCAGAGUGCAUGCAGUUUUUCAUGUCUCCUCACUCAAGCGCCAUGUUAAACCAGACCAACAGGUAUUACCAGUUCUGCCCUCGACAACAUCUCACCUGCAGGUACCUACUGGCUUCCUGGACCGUCGACUGAUUUCACGUGGAAACAAGACGGUAACUCAAGUCCUGGUCAAAUGGAGUCACUCCCCGGCGUCGUUGGCAAUCUGGGAAGAUCAAGAUGUGUUGAAUCAACAGUUUCCACGUGCUCCAGCUUGGGGGCAAGCCGUUUCCUCUCAAGGGGGGAUUGUCAGCAGCGCUGAGGAGGAAGAAGCGGCAAGAACUGAAGAGCUACAGGAGAACCUGGCAAGAGCGGAGCAGGCCAGGCCCAAGAGGAGGACGCAGGCCCCUUCAAGGCCGUGA